RNAcentral lists this ribosomal RNA (253 nucleotides) under uncultured bacterium. RNAcentral's name for it is "partial 16S ribosomal RNA". It matches the Rfam family "Bacterial small subunit ribosomal RNA", at positions 524 to 776 of the family's 1533-position model. The record is from RNAcentral.
UACAGAGGGGGCAAGCGUUAUUCGGAAUGACUGGGCGUAAAGGGCGCGUAGGCGGCGAUCACAGUCAGAUGUGAAAUUCCUGGGCUUAACCUGGGGGCUGCAUUUGAUACGUGGUUGCUUGAGUGGGGAAGAGGGUCGUGGAAUUCCCAGUGUAGAGGUGAAAUUCGUAGAUAUUGGGAAGAACACCGGUGGCGAAGGCGGCGACCUGGUCCUUGACUGACGCUGAGGCGCGAAAGCGUGGGGAGCAAACAGG